CGUCUCUGUUUUAGUGUGUAU
This 21-nucleotide unclassified non-coding RNA is filed under the name Mus musculus (house mouse). RNAcentral describes it as "oocyte_clustered_small_RNA9933". The record is from RNAcentral. Lineage: Eukaryota; Metazoa; Chordata; Mammalia; Rodentia; Muridae.